GACCAUCGUGUUUAUUUUCUGCUCAGUCAGUUCAAGAGCAACAUCUCCUUCUUGUAAGGCCGUGCUUUUCUCUAUUGUCAUAAAUGCACUAAAUACAAAGAAAGCAUAUACAUAUCAGUAGUGAAGAAUUGUAAAGAUGGAGAGUAAUCAUGGAGAUGGAGUGUGGAGAGUUGAUGUAAAUCUCAGAUUCAAAGCAUCCAUAAAGACUACGCUGAAAUAGGUUAAAGUAUAUGAACCUGCAAAGGAAACAGAAAAGCAGCAACAGGAAAGAAAGAAGACAAAAGUGGGUAAAAAUCUCAGGAGGAAAUCAAGAGAAUAUGUCAAGAUGGAGGGAGUAGACAAUGGUAUCAUAUACUGUGGUCAAGCAGGCAAAUACAAUUGAUUUCUUCACCAACAUGUGACAAUAUGAGGAAAGGGACUUUGUCUUAAAUGUCAUUGCCUGCCUCUUUCUUCACCAUUGACACCUAGCAUAAUGCCUUACAUGGAGAACAUUUUUUGAAUGCAUUUAUUGAAGGAAUGAUUAAACACAUCUUGCUAAACUAAAUAAAAGGAAAGACCCACAUAGCAUGUAAUAUGAAUAUAAUGAAACCAAAGAUAGCUUAAUAUUUUUAGGGAGGAAAAUAUAUGUAUAUAAAUACAAAACAGGAUUACAUUGAAUAGAAGCAUAGUAGAAACAAAAAGCCCAGUGGAAAGAAAUAUAUACAGCUCAAAAUGGACUGGCCAUGAAUCAAAGCAUCAUGUUGUCACCAUAAAAGAAAAUUAGUAGUUAAAAUGAAUGGACUGUUUACUCACACUGAUUAUACUUCUUGGACUCAGUGUACAGUUAUGACCUACUUAGCUAAGGAAGACCUGAAAAUGCUUUUUUAAACCACAUGAAGAGAUCUCUUCUGUGUGCCAAAUUUUCCGACUGCAGAGGAAGAAUUAACAAUGGCCAAGGCCAAGGGGAACAGGCAGAAAGAAGAGUGUGGCCUCAAAUGAUUUACAAGCAUUAAUCAGGAAACAUAUGGCUGUCUUGCCAAACUUGCUGGACAUUUACAAGGUUCAUAGCAUAGCUCACAGC
RNAcentral lists this long non-coding RNA (1060 nucleotides) under Homo sapiens (human). Its description in RNAcentral is "HSALNT0091632". The record is from RNAcentral. Lineage: Eukaryota; Metazoa; Chordata; Mammalia; Primates; Hominidae.